This 253-nucleotide ribosomal RNA is filed under the name uncultured bacterium. RNAcentral describes it as "partial 16S ribosomal RNA". It matches the Rfam family "Bacterial small subunit ribosomal RNA", at positions 524 to 776 of the family's 1533-position model. The record is from RNAcentral.
UACGUAGGUGGCAAGCGUUGUCCGGAUUUAUUGGGCGUAAAGCGCGCGUAGGCGGCCUGUUAAGUCGAACGUGAAAUCCCCGGGCUCAACCCGGGAACUGCGUCCGAUACUGGCAGGCUUGAAUCCGGGAGAGGGAUGUGGAAUUCCAGGUGUAGCGGUGAAAUGCGUAGAUAUCUGGAGGAACACCGGUGGCGAAGGCGGCAUCCUGGACCGGUAUUGACGCUGAGGCGCGAAAGCCAGGGGAGCAAACGGG